Molecule: non-coding RNA, 73 nt
Organism: Bos taurus (domestic cattle)
Lineage: Eukaryota; Metazoa; Chordata; Mammalia; Artiodactyla; Bovidae
Source: Rfam
UCCCUGAUAGCUCAGUUGUUAAAGAAUCUGCCUGCAAUGCAGGAGACCCCGGUUGGAUCUCUGGGUCAGGAAG